This 105-nucleotide ribosomal RNA is filed under the name Segatella copri. RNAcentral describes it as "Prevotella copri partial 16S ribosomal RNA". The record is from RNAcentral. Lineage: Bacteria; Pseudomonadati; Bacteroidota; Bacteroidia; Bacteroidales; Prevotellaceae.
UUUUACAAUGGAGAGUUUGAUCCUGGCUCAGGAUGAACGCUAGCUACAGGCUUAACACAUGCAAGUCGAGGGGAAACGACAUCGAAAGCUUGCUUUUGAUGGGCG